This is a microRNA precursor of Brassica oleracea var. oleracea, 98 nucleotides long. It matches the Rfam family "MIR9563 microRNA precursor family". Lineage: Eukaryota; Viridiplantae; Streptophyta; Magnoliopsida; Brassicales; Brassicaceae. The record is from Rfam.
GGAAUAUAAGAAACUGUCUCUUAACUUUUAACUAAAACAUUUAAGAACCGGUUCUUAACUUUUUUAGUUAAAAGUUAAGAGGCGAUUUCUUAUAUUCC